GGAGAGAUGGCCGAGCGGCUGAAGGCGCGCCCCUGCUAAGGGCGUAUAGGUUGAUCCCUAUCGAGGGUUCGAAUCCCUCUCUCUCCGCCA
Molecule: transfer RNA, 90 nt
Filed under: Halieaceae bacterium
Lineage: Bacteria; Pseudomonadati; Pseudomonadota; Gammaproteobacteria; Cellvibrionales; Halieaceae
Description: tRNA-Ser
Rfam family: tRNA
About the family: Transfer RNA (tRNA) molecules are approximately 80 nucleotides in length. Their secondary structure includes four short double-helical elements and three loops (D, anti-codon, and T loops).
Source: RNAcentral